AGUAAUGCUUGGGAAUCUAGCUUAUGGAGGGGAUACCUACGGGAAACUGUAGCUAAUACCGCGUAGAAUCGAGAGAUGAAAGUGUGGGACCUUCGGGCCACAUGCCAUAGGAUGAGCCCAAGUGGGAUUAGGUAGUUGGUGAGGUAAAGGCUCACCAAGCCGACGAUCUCUAGCUGGUCUGAGAGGAUGACCAGCCACACUGGGACUGAGACACGGCCCAG
This 221-nucleotide ribosomal RNA is filed under the name uncultured bacterium. Its description in RNAcentral is "partial 16S ribosomal RNA". It matches the Rfam family "Bacterial small subunit ribosomal RNA", at positions 109 to 334 of the family's 1533-position model. The record is from RNAcentral.